This is a non-coding RNA of Malus domestica (apple), 1372 nucleotides long. The record is from RefSeq and is a predicted model, not a curated record. Lineage: Eukaryota; Viridiplantae; Streptophyta; Magnoliopsida; Rosales; Rosaceae.
UUAGCUUUUUCUUUCCGCUGGCUUCUCUCUUUCUCCAUUCUCACCUUCUGCUUAUUUUCGAACCUAGUUUUUUUUCUCUUCCACGCCAGUGUUGUUCCAGAAACGCUCAUGUCCCAAUUUUGGGGCUCUCAAUGCAACUUUGCAAGCCCUUUGUGUUCAAGGAAACGGUGAUCUUUGUUUUUUGAAAAUUUUGUAUAUGCGUUUGCAAACCAUUUGUGCUUCAGCAGGAGUCGCUCACCAAGGCAUUGCAGGGCACGAGGGUACAAUUCGGACUCAGGAUAUGCAGAUUGAUUUGGACCUAGGGAUAACAACAUUACCACUGGCAAGAUAUAUCAGGUGCUUCUAACUCGAUUUUGACGUCCUUUGCGGUGUGUAUCAUUUCCUACUUCGAACUUGAUCUUACUUAUAGUUUUUAGUUUUUGAAAAAGAUGUAAAUGUAAUAACUGAGGUUUGUAAUACGGAGGGAGACACCGUCAGUUGGUGGAAUCAUUAACCCUGGUUCUGAGGGAUUUCAGAAGCUAUUUUUCGGUCAAAAGGAAAUCGCCAUACCAAUGCACUUAAAAUCAGAUUACCAUUCUUGAUCUGUUGUUUCGAGAUUGUCUGACCUUUGGGUUGAUAACUAUUGCAACAUUGAAGCAUCACGCACUGCACAGCCUACUGCUGAUGUCUUAAUCAACUUUGCUUCGUACAGAAGUGCUGCCGCUUCUUCCAUGGCUGCUCUCAAGCAACCAACCAUUAGAGUUGUGGCGGUCAUUGCUGAAGGUGUACCUGAGUCAGACACUAAGCAAUUGAUCGCAUAUGCAUGGGCAAACAACAAGGUUGUCAUUGGCCCAGCUACUGUUGGAGGAAUUCAAGCUGGAGUUUUUAAGAUUGGUGACACUGCUGGAACAUUGAUAACAUUAUUCACCGCAAGCUAUACUGGCCUGGAUUUGUUGGUUUUGUCUCCAAAUCUGUAUGUAGCUAUCCAAUAUCUUGAACUUCAGAUAAUUUGGUUAUUCAUAAGACUGUCAUGACGUAUAUACCUUUAACGGUUAGCGUAUUGGAAUUGAGUUCAUUCAUUUCUGUCCUCUGCCCUUACGUUGGCAAGACUGUCCAGGUGAUGGUACAAAAUCACAAUGUUCAUGUGUCCUACCUUUUCUUUUUUGCUUCACUUGCUUGAACGCUGAUGAUUGCCUUUCUUCAGUGAUUUGAGUCGAUUUAGGUGGUUCAACACAUAACUGAUGUAAUUAAGACAUGGGUUGAAUCUGUUUCAGUCAUUUCCAUCGAUGGAAAAGAAGGCCUUGCAAAUGUUUAUGCAGAUCAUUGGGAGCUUAAUUUAUUAGUAUUUAUGUAGAAAUAGAAAUAAUUAUAAAUGAAACCUUCUUAUCAGGCA